GGCAAGAUGGCCGAGUGGUUAAGGCGCAACGUUCAGGAACUCUCUGAAAUUUCUUCCGUUGUCUUCGGGCGUGGGUUCGAAUCCCACUCUUGUCA
Ustilago trichophora is the source of this 95-nucleotide non-coding RNA. The record is from the annotation of a GenBank genome assembly. NCBI's taxonomy places the organism in Eukaryota, Fungi, Basidiomycota, Ustilaginomycetes, Ustilaginales, Ustilaginaceae.